CAGUAACUGGAUAAACAAAGACUGAUCAGGAGGAGUCAGCACAGCUUUGUGUAUGAGAAGUUGGGCUUGACAAAGCUCUCUGAGUUCCUUGAAGAAGUAACCAAAAAUGAAUUGCCUGUCUUUGACAAUGUCUCCAGCAAGAUAUUCCAGACGUUGACAUAAGAGGGAAGCUGCUGGCCAGAGAGCGCAUUGUAUCCUGAAUUCAGAUGAGAGGCCGAGAGUUCCCAUCAUGGAUAACAUAAAUCCUCUUGUACCAAUGCAG
Molecule: long non-coding RNA, 262 nt
Organism: Hypanus sabinus (Atlantic stingray)
Lineage: Eukaryota; Metazoa; Chordata; Chondrichthyes; Myliobatiformes; Dasyatidae
Exons: 3
Source: RefSeq, a predicted model, not a curated record